GGGGAAUUAGCUCAAAUGGGAGAGCGCUCGCUUUGCAUGCGAGGGGUAGCGGGAUCGAUACCCGCAUUCUCCA
This is a non-coding RNA of Eubalaena glacialis (North Atlantic right whale), 73 nucleotides long. The record is from the annotation of a RefSeq genome assembly. Lineage: Eukaryota; Metazoa; Chordata; Mammalia; Artiodactyla; Balaenidae.